Molecule: ribosomal RNA, 464 nt
Filed under: uncultured bacterium
Lineage: Bacteria
Description: partial 16S ribosomal RNA
Rfam family: Bacterial small subunit ribosomal RNA
Source: RNAcentral
GACGAACGCUGGCGGCGUGCUUAACACAUGCAAGUCGAACGGUAAGGCCCUUUCGGGGGUACACGAGUGGCGAACGGGUGAGUAACACGUGGGUGAUCUGCCCUGCACUUUGGGAUAAGCCUGGGAAACUGUGUCUAAUACCGGAUAGGACUACGCGAUGCAUGUCGUGUGGUGGAAAGCUUUUGCGGUGUGGGAUGGGCCCGCGUCCUAUCAGCUUGUUGGUGGGGUGAUGGCCUACCAAGGCGACGACGGGUAGCCGGCCUGAGAGGGUGUCGGGCCACACUGGGACUGAGAUACGGCCAGGACUCCUACGGGGGGCAGCAGUGGGGAAUAUUGCACAAUGGGCGCAAGCCUGAUGAAGCGACGCCGCGUGGGGGAUGACGGCCUGCGGGUUGUAAACCCCUUUCAGCACAGACGAAGCGUAAGUGACGGUAUGUGCAGAAGAAGCACCGGCCAACUACGUG